Non-coding RNA from Gossypium arboreum, 143 nucleotides. The record is from Rfam. NCBI's taxonomy places the organism in Eukaryota, Viridiplantae, Streptophyta, Magnoliopsida, Malvales, Malvaceae.
UUUUUAAAUUCAUCUAUUUCUAUUAUUAAAAACUAGCAUAGUUAACCGAAUAAUUAAAUAGUGGCAUAAAAUGUGCCCGGUGUACCUCAUAUUAACAUAUAGGGAUGAAUUUUUAAUAAUAAAAAUGGAUAAAAUUUUAAUAA